RNAcentral lists this ribosomal RNA (254 nucleotides) under uncultured bacterium. RNAcentral's name for it is "partial 16S ribosomal RNA". It matches the Rfam family "Bacterial small subunit ribosomal RNA", at positions 524 to 776 of the family's 1533-position model. The record is from RNAcentral.
UACGAAGGGUGCAAGCGUUACUCGGAAUUACUGGGCGUAAAGCGUGCGUAGGUGGUUUGUUAAGUCUGAUGUGAAAGCCCUGGGCUCAACCUGGGAAUUGCAUUGGAUACUGGCAGGCUAGAGUGCGGUAGAGGAUGGCGGAAUUCCAGGUGUAGCGGUGAAAUGCGUAGAUAUCUGGAGGAAUACCGGUGGCGAAGGCGGCAUCCUGGACCGGCAUUGACGCUGAGUGAGCGAAAGCCAGGGGAGCAAACGGG